Nematostella vectensis (starlet sea anemone) is the source of this 516-nucleotide long non-coding RNA. RefSeq lists it as uncharacterized. The transcript is spliced from 2 exons. The record is from RefSeq and is a predicted model, not a curated record. NCBI's taxonomy places the organism in Eukaryota, Metazoa, Cnidaria, Anthozoa, Actiniaria, Edwardsiidae.
GGGUGCAAUAUAGUCGCAUUUGUAGUUAUCUUUGGAGACUUCGUCAACGGUGAUUUUCUCCACGGGUUUGCCUCCUUUAGCUAAAAUCAGAAGAAAAAUGAUUUUAAUUCCUUAUAGACACGUACGUGUUUAGACUGACAAUGUGUGUUCUACCUGCGGGCUCGACGGUGACAUGGACAUCUCCCUUGCCGGCAUCCUUGCAGUCUAUAGUGAACCAUGUUGGUUUUCCAGGAUUUACACCAGUAGGUGCAACACCUGGUCCCGCGACCUUGACUUUAGAUGAAUCACCGGCGGGCUUGAUGGGAACUUUAAAAGGGCUGCCAGGGACGUGCUUGGACCCGUAGGUGACAUUAACUCUGUGGGGUACUACAAAAGAUAAUUAUGAACCAGUUUAAAUAGGUCCUGGCUAUGACAGGAUGGUAGCAGAGUAAUUAUUAUACAUAAUAAUGGCUAGUUUAAAUUUUUUUUUUGAAAAAUAAUGUACCAAGGGUUUCCAAGAAUGCAAUGCAAUGUCUA